Non-coding RNA from Peromyscus maniculatus bairdii (prairie deer mouse), 3268 nucleotides. Lineage: Eukaryota; Metazoa; Chordata; Mammalia; Rodentia; Cricetidae. The record is from RefSeq and is a predicted model, not a curated record.
UUGACGAAUGAAGAAAAAACAUGAUUAUCUCAAGUGACUCGCACAUCCCGUUUUUCGUUGCACAAAUAAAAGUCUGUGUCUUGGGCCCAGUUGCAAGCCUGCCCACGCGGGCCAGGCUUUGAUAUUUAAACCAGGCAGGGUGAAACUACAGGUUGGGGCACUCUGCAACUUACGCAUCCUAUCCUCCUCCCCCUAAGCAGUCGGAGAAGAGGUUUGACUGCUCAAAGGGUGGCUAGAGACAGAGACGGGACACUGGCCGAAGGGGAGCAAGUGGUGGUGGCAGCUGAGCCCGGCGAUGCCUGGGGAGCUGCACCGGCUCAUCAGUCUCGUUCUCCAGAAACUAAAAACAGUCUCAAGCCGCUGCACGCUGCCGAACGUCGGCACGAUUCUCUAAGUUCGGAAACCACGAAGCAGUGUGGUGGAUUCGCACGACCAGAGCGUGUCAUUCUCUCAAAAACAAAGAGCUGGGUGCAGCUUGCUAGACUCCUGCCCCCACUGUGCGCUCCAAACAGCGCGUUUCUCCCCAUGCGGAAAUUCGCUCAACUUCUCCAAGUACGAGCUAGAGCAGGCGGUGGAAGCCAGCCGUUCUCAAGAGCUGCUCCGAGCUCCCACUUUGCUGGAAGGGCGUCACUGCUCCAGCGCCUUCGUAACUCAGCCGCAGAAGAACGCUCGGCUAAAAAGGACACAGUGAGCCUGUGGAGAACAUUUUUAGAAGCUGGGGGACUGGAAGGCUCGUGUAUCCCACAAACUUGUGGGGAAGACCGUUGGGGCUGAAGUUUCACUCGGAAAGGGCAGUCCCGCUCUGGUGCACGUUCCCCAGGCUUCGGGCAGCCAACCGGGUGUGACGCUGCUAGAGGCUUGGGAGCGCAGGCUCUCCAUCAAGUGGCUCUGAUGUGGGUUCCUAUAUUUUUGACAGCGAACCCCACUGGGUUUGGAGAGCAUCGAUAUUUGGAAGAGCCCCCAUCGGGGGUCUUCUUGGAGCAUCAGAGGAGAUAGAGCAACUUUCCGUGCGGCUGGGGAACUGCCGCAUUUAGUUUACUAAGGCCAUGCGUCUCUAUCCGUCAUAGCCACCUACUAUUCGGCUCCAAACGAAAUAGGAACAGAUGUUAGGAAACUGGGGGGAAGUAAGUAGGUAAACCUCAAGUUAUUGAGGACACUCCUUUUAAUAGUGGAGCUACGCCGACCCGAGAGACAUUAGACUUCAUCACGCAGGAAUGGUGGAGGAGGCUGUGACUGGAAACUAAAAGACUCUCAGGUCUCUUUGCGCACCGCACCACGGGUUCCCACCCGUACUUAAUCAUCCUAGCAAUAUUCGCCUGAUCAGCCCGCACCGUCUCCGGUCCUUCCUGACACUUCUCUUCCCUGUUUACCUUUCUGCUUCUGGUCACCCCGAGGUUUGGGCUGCCCUGGACCUCUCCGUUUGCCUUUGCUAAGGCGUUCCUGUCCUCUGGAGAUGACUGUGGUGACAAGUGUACCAGAGAAACAGCUGAAGCCUUUUCCCGCCUGCCCCCAAAGCUGAUGACCUUACACAAUACUCGCACAUCAUUUGUUCCCUAACUUUCUGUACUUGUCUUGGAGCUUGCUCAGCUGUCUCUGAAUGACCCUCUCUCAGCACAGACUACAUGGCAGUUUCUCCCUGGAAGCAUCCUGUCUGCUCAGCCCAAGCUUGAGAGCCUCCUCCUGCAGAGCGAGCAGGACUAAAGUGGAGACAGCAUCUCAGGCAGUUUGGGGUGCUGUGCAGGUUGUCUGACUUUCCCACAGCUUUCCAAAUCAACUGGCCUCUGACUUGUCAUUUUUGAAGAAACUGAGGUGCAGAGAAAGGACUUGACGUGAGGAUGUGGAAGGAGCUGGGAGCAGGGUCUGCAGCGGCCUCUGGAUGUCUUGAGUUUGGAGUCCAUUUGCUCAGUUCGAAGGAGGUACAACAGCUAACAAUGAACUACUGUUCAUGUCUCUCACUAAACAGAGAACUCCUCAAUGGUUUACACUGGCUGCCCAAAGAACUCUGGAGAUCUUCCUCUCUCUACCCUUACCCCAGCACUGAGAUUACAGACACAUCAGCACAGAAGACCUUCGUAUGGGCACUGGGGAUUUGAAAUCAGAUUCACAUGCUUCUGUGGCAGGCCCACAGGACACACAGGAUGAUACUUCCACGUCUCAUGCCAGGGGCAGAGUGAGGCUCUCAUGGGCCUGUAUCAGAGAGGCUGCUUCCCCCACCUCUUCCCUGUAAAUUUCCCAAAGUCUCUAACUCUGAUUCAUUUUCAUUCUUCGCUGCAGUGUGUGUUCACAGAGUCCUUGGAAGAAGACUGUGAUUGCUAAAAGUUGUGAGCCUAUGGCGGGCAAGGCCUGUACUUGGUGCAGCAAAGGAAAGUCCAUCACACCUGCUCCUCAGUCUAGGAUCCCAAGUUAGCCAGCUCCCACUUUGCCCCAAGAGACAGCCUCUCUUCUCCUAUUACCAAGAAACAGUAGAAUUUCAGGAAAGGGAUGAUCCCAUAUUUAAGAGGCUUGAAAUUGUAUGCAUGACAUUUCUGAGUUAAGUUCUAAAAUACAGUCCCCUUAAUCAUAGGAAAAAUAAGAAAUGUAGUUAAAACUUAUUUAAAAAACAUUGCACUAGGAGAAAUGAAAAAUUAUGUUGACAUAAAACAUGUAUAAAACUAUUCACGGCAUCAGCGGGGCUGGGAUAUAGCUCAGUCAUGGAGGGCUUGCAGAGCAAUGUGCAUGGUCCAAGGUUCAAUCCCCAGCCCUGGGAUAGAAAAGUAGGAGGGGAGGAGGUAUUCACAGCAGCAUUUCCAAUAUCUACAGAAAAGAGAAACAAUUCAAACACCUACAAAUGAAAGGAUAAAUAUAAAAUGCCAUAGCUAUAUGAUGGGAUACUAGUCAGCAGUGGAAAAGUAUGAAGUGAUAGAGAUGACAGUAUGGAUGACUUUUUUAACAUCUUCCUAAGUAACAGAAGCCAAUCACAAGAGAAGGCACCCACUCCAUAUUUCUGGAGUAUAUAGGCAUAUCUAUAUAGAGAGAAAGCAGAACAGUGGUUGGCUAGAACUUGGAGAGAGGGCCUGGACUUGGGGAGACAGCAGAGAGGUGCAGCAUUUCUCUGGAUGGAGAUGAAAAUAUUCUUGAAUUAAUUGAAGUGAUGGUUGGGCCACUUGAUGACUGCAUUUUAAAACCACUGAAUUUUACUUGCAAGUGGGGGAAUUGCAUGGUAUGUUGAUUAUAUCUCAAUAAAGCCUUUAAUAUAUUUUAUUAAAAUAAUAUAAUAAUAUAAAAGAUA